RNAcentral lists this ribosomal RNA (615 nucleotides) under Candidatus Amoebinatus sp. Muzt-I72. RNAcentral describes it as "bacterial SSU rRNA". It matches the Rfam family "Bacterial small subunit ribosomal RNA", at positions 55 to 668 of the family's 1533-position model. The record is from RNAcentral. Lineage: Bacteria; Pseudomonadati; Bacteroidota; Flavobacteriia; Flavobacteriales; Flavobacteriaceae.
AUGCAAGCCGAGCGGUAUGGAUAGCUUGCUAUCCAGAGAGCGGCGCACGGGUGCGUAACACGUGUGCAACCUACCUUUAUCUGGGGGAUAGCCUUUCGAAAGGAAGAUUAAUACCCCAUAAUAUAAUUGAUGGCAUCAUUGAUUAUUGAAAACUCCGGUGGAUAGAGAUGGGCACGCGCAAGAUUAGAUAGUUGGUGAGGUAACGGCUCACCAAGUCUGUGAUCUUUAGGGGUCCUGAGAGGGAGAUCCCCCACACUGGUACUGAGACACGGACCAGACUCCUACGGGAGGCAGCAGUGAGGAAUAUUGGACAAUGGGUGAGAGCCUGAUCCAGCCAUCCCGCGUGAAGGAUGACGGUCCUAUGGAUUGUAAACUUCUUUUGUACAGGGAUAAACCUACCCUCGUGAGGGUAGCUGAAGGUACUGUACGAAUAAGCACCGGCUAACUCCGUGCCAGCAGCCGCGGUAAUACGGAGGGUGCAAGCGUUAUCCGGAUUUAUUGGGUUUAAAGGGUCCGUAGGCGGACCUGUAAGUCAGUGGUGAAAUCUCAUACCUUAACUAUGAAACUGCCAUUGAUACUGCCAGGUCUUGAGUAAAUUUUGAACUGGCUGGAAUA